UUUAACUGAAGAGUUUGAUCAUGGCUCAGAUUGAACGCUGGCGGCAGGCUUAACACAUGCAAGUCGAGCGGAGAGAGGUAGCUUGCUACUGAUCUUAGCGGCGGACGGGUGAGUAAUGCUUAGGAAUCUGCCUAUUAGUGGGGGACAACAUUUCGAAAGGAAUGCUAAUACCGCAUACGUCCUACGGGAGAAAGCAGGGGAUCUUCGGACCUUGCGCUAAUAGAUGAGCCUAAGUCGGAUUAGCUAGUUGGUGGGGUAAAGGCCUACCAAGGCGACGAUCUGUAGCGGGUCUGAGAGGAUGAUCCGCCACACUGGGACUGAGACACGGCCCAGACUCCUACGGGAGGCAGCAGUGGGGAAUAUUGGACAAUGGGCGCAAGCCUGAUCCAGCCAUGCCGCGUGUGUGAAGAAGGCCUUAUGGUUGUAAAGCACUUUAAGCGAGGAGGAGGCUACUUUAGUUAAUACCUAGAGAUAGUGGACGUUACUCGCAGAAUAAGCACCGGCUAACUCUGUGCCAGCAGCCGCGGUAAUACAGAGGGUGCAAGCGUUAAUCGGAUUUACUGGGCGUAAAGCGCGCGUAGGCGGCUAAUUAAGUCAAAUGUGAAAUCCCCGAGCUUAACUUGGGAAUUGCAUUCGAUACUGGUUAGCUAGAGUGUGGGAGAGGAUGGUAGAAUUCCAGGUGUAGCGGUGAAAUGCGU
Molecule: ribosomal RNA, 698 nt
Filed under: Acinetobacter pittii
Lineage: Bacteria; Pseudomonadati; Pseudomonadota; Gammaproteobacteria; Moraxellales; Moraxellaceae
Description: bacterial SSU rRNA
Rfam family: Bacterial small subunit ribosomal RNA
Source: RNAcentral